GGUGAACGCUAGCGAUAGGCUUAACACAUGCAAGUCGAGGGGCAGCAUGGUCUUAGCUUGCUAAGACUGAUGGCGACCGGCGCACGGGUGCGUAACGCGUAUGCAACUUGCCUCACAGAGGGGGAUAACCCGUCGAAAGACGGACUAAUACCGCGUACACUUGGGAUAGGGCAUCCUGACCCAAGGAAAUGAAAUUCGCUGUGAGAUAGGCAUGCGUCCCAUUAGCUAGUUGGUGAGGUAACGGCUCACCAAGGCGACGAUGGGUAGGGGAACUGAGAGGUUGAACCCCCACACUGGUACUGAGACACGGACCAGACUCCUACGGGAGGCAGCAGUGAGGAAUAUUGGUCAAUGGGCGAGAGCCUGAACCAGCCAAGUCGCGUGAAGGAUGACUGUCUUAUGGAUUGUAAACUUCUUUUAUACGGGAAUAACAAGAGCCACGUGUGGCUCCCUGCAUGUACCGUAUGAAUAAGCAUCGGCUAACUCCGUG
This 490-nucleotide ribosomal RNA is filed under the name uncultured bacterium. RNAcentral describes it as "partial 16S ribosomal RNA". It matches the Rfam family "Bacterial small subunit ribosomal RNA", at positions 28 to 507 of the family's 1533-position model. The record is from RNAcentral.